GCCAUGGGCAGGUUGAAGGUUGGGUAACACUAACUGGAGGACCGAACCGACUAAUGUUGAAAAAUUAGCGGAUGACUUGUGGCUGGGGGUGAAAGGCCAAUCAAACCGGGAGAUAGCUGGUUCUCCCCGAAAGCUAUUUAGGUAGCGCCUCGUGAAUUCAUCUCCGGGGGUAGAGCACUGUUUCGGCAAGGGGGUCAUCCCGACUUACCAACCCGAUGCAAACUGCGAAUACCGGAGAAUGUUAUCACGGGAGACACACGGCGGGUGCUAACGUCCGUCGUGAAGAGGGAAACAACCCAGACCGCCAGCUAAGGUCCCAAAGUCAUGGUUAAGUGGGAAACGAUGUGGGAAGGCCCAGACAGCCAGGAUGUUGGCUUAGAAGCAGCCAUCAUUUAAAGAAAGCGUAAUAGCUCACUGGUCGAGUCGGCCUGCGCGGAAGAUGUAACGGGGCUAAACCAUGCACCGAAGCUGCGGCAGCGACGCUUAUGCGUUGUUGGGUAGGGGAGCGUUCUGUAAGCCUGUGAAGGUGUGCUGUGAGGCAUGCUGGAGGUAUCAGAAGUGCGAAUGCUGACAUAAGUAACGAUAAAGCGGGUGAAAAGCCCGCUCGCCGGAAGACCAAGGGUUCCUGUCCAACGUUAAUCGGGGCAGGGUGAGUCGACCCCUAAGGCGAGGCCGAAAGGCGUAGUCGAUGGGAAACAGGUUAAUAUUCCUGUACUUGGUGUUACUGCGAAGGGGGGACGGAGAAGGCUAUGUUGGCCGGGCGACGGUUGUCCCGGUUUAAGCGUGUAGGCUGGUUUUCCAGGCAAAUCCGGAAAAUCAAGGCUGAGGCGUGAUGACGAGGCACUACGGUGCUGAAGCAACAAAUGCCCUGCUUCCAGGAAAAGCCUCUAAGCAUCAGGUAACAUCAAAUCGUACCCCAAACCGACACAGGUGGUCAGGUAGAGAAUACCAAGGCGCUUGAGAGAACUCGGGUGAAGGAACUAGGCAAAAUGGUGCCGUAACUUCGGGAGAAGGCACGCUGAUAUGUAGGUGAAGUCCCUCGCGGAUGGAGCUGAAAUCAGUCGAAGAUACCAGCUGGCUGCAACUGUUUAUUAAAAACACAGCACUGUGCAAACACGAAAGUGGACGUAUACGGUGUGACGCCUGCCCGGUGCCGGAAGGUUAAUUGAUGGGGUCAGCGCAAGCGAAGCUCUUGAUCGAAGCCCCGGUAAACGGCGGCCGUAACUAUAACGGUCCUAAGGUAGCGAAAUUCCUUGUCGGGUAAGUUCCGACCUGCACGAAUGGCGUAAUGAUGGCCAGGCUGUCUCCACCCGAGACUCAGUGAAAUUGAACUCGCUGUGAAGAUGCAGUGUACCCGCGGCAAGACGGAAAGACCCCGUGAACCUUUACUAUAGCUUGACACUGAACAUUGAGCCUUGAUGUGUAGGAUAGGUGGGAGGCUUAGAAGUGUGGACGCCAGUCUGCAUGGAGCCGACCUUGAAAUACCACCCUUUAAUGUUUGAUGUUCUAACGUUGACCCGUAAUCCGGGUUGCGGACAGUGUCUGGUGGGUAGUUUGACUGGGGCGGUCUCCUCCUAAAGAGUAACGGAGGAGCACGAAGGUUGGCUAAUCCUGGUCGGACAUCAGGAGGUUAGUGCAAUGGCAUAAGCCAGCUUGACUGCGAGCGUGACGGCGCGAGCAGGUGCGAAAGCAGGUCAUAGUGAUCCGGUGGUUCUGAAUGGAAGGGCCAUCGCUCAACGGAUAAAAGGUACUCCGGGGAUAACAGGCUGAUACCGCCCAAGAGUUCAUAUCGACGGCGGUGUUUGGCACCUCGAUGUCGGCUCAUCACAUCCUGGGGCUGAAGUAGGUCCCAAGGGUAUGGCUGUUCGCCAUUUAAAGUGGUACGCGAGCUGGGUUUAGAACGUCGUGAGACAGUUCGGUCCCUAUCUGCCGUGGGCGCUGGAGAACUGAGGGGGGCUGCUCCUAGUACGAGAGGACCGGAGUGGACGCAUCACUGGUGUUCGGGUUGUCAUGCCAAUGGCACUGCCCGGUAGCUAAAUGCGGAAGAGAUAAGUGCUGAAAGCAUCUAAGCACGAAACUUGCC
This 2083-nucleotide ribosomal RNA is filed under the name Escherichia coli. RNAcentral's name for it is "partial 23S ribosomal RNA". It matches the Rfam family "Bacterial large subunit ribosomal RNA", at positions 733 to 2798 of the family's 2925-position model. Lineage: Bacteria; Pseudomonadati; Pseudomonadota; Gammaproteobacteria; Enterobacterales; Enterobacteriaceae. The record is from RNAcentral.